RNAcentral lists this transfer RNA (61 nucleotides) under Climacostomum virens. It matches the Rfam family "tRNA", at positions 8 to 63 of the family's 71-position model. Rfam says of the family: Transfer RNA (tRNA) molecules are approximately 80 nucleotides in length. Their secondary structure includes four short double-helical elements and three loops (D, anti-codon, and T loops). The record is from RNAcentral. Lineage: Eukaryota; Ciliophora; Heterotrichea; Heterotrichida; Climacostomidae.
GAGUUUAGUUUACCGGUAGAACGUUUGGCUGUGGACCAAAAAAAAGGGGUUCGACUCCCCU